Long non-coding RNA from Magnolia sinica, 1239 nucleotides. RefSeq lists it as uncharacterized. The transcript has 2 exons. The record is from RefSeq and is a predicted model, not a curated record. NCBI's taxonomy places the organism in Eukaryota, Viridiplantae, Streptophyta, Magnoliopsida, Magnoliales, Magnoliaceae.
UGAAUCCUUUGUGUCCUUCUGUUUUUGAAAUAUCAUAUAGGAUAAAUCCUAAAGGCUUAGAUGAUGAUGAUGAUAAAUCUAACUUACCUGUGGUCAUUGCACUUAAAUUUGUGAAUGGGUUCCUGCAAUUUUCUUCCGGUAAUUUUAUACUUGCUUUCUUGUUCCAAUCGUCUUAGGAGUUGUUAUCUUGUUGUUACAUGGAAGAUUUAUGCAUUCCCAUGUAUUAGUGAUUUAAAUACAAUAGCAUUCUCUCUUUCCAAACAAACAUGAGAUGGUCUUGAAACAGAAAUUCAGAAAUCCUAGUAAGUGUAAAAAUCCCAAAAUCAUAAUUUUUUUUUCUCUGCUCCUGAAAUUGCCAUGAGCCAAACAGCCUAAAGAAAUCUAUCCCUACUUGAUGCAUAUGAAAACCGUACUCCAUUUGAUAUAUCUUCCUUUAUUUAAGCGUUAUAGAUUUAUAGAACCUGUUAGGAUUAGCUACUGCUAGAAAUGGAAAAUUAUGAAAAACAUAUACUCUAGCCUCAAAGAUUUAAUAAACAUAUAAAGGAAGAUUCAGGUUGGACAAGUACAGGAAACUUGUACUGCAAAAGAACUAUGUGAAAUUCUUGGUAGUUUUCACUCGUGUUAUGACAAAAAAAAAAAAUCAGCUUCUUUGAUAAUCCUUUUAUUUUUUUUGUUCUUUAAAUCAGCUCUAUACUCGCAAGCAUAGUUGGUUGGCCUCAGUGUGUGGAAGCAAGGCGAGGGUCUGUUUUAGGCAGAUAACAAUAUGCAGUGGUAGUUGAUGUAGUUAAUUGAAGAACUUGAACUCAAGGGUCUGUUUGGAUAGUGAUUAGUGAGACAAGAAAAGAUUGUUACCCAAGAUUUUCAUGACACAGAUUCCCAUGGAUUCCAUUUGGGAGGUUUUACUCGCAUAUGUUACCUGCUCCGUGGGCAUUUAUGCCAUUUUAAUCUAAUGUUGUUAUGUUACUAAUGGACAUGCAUUCAUGUUGAACUUGUCCACAUUUUGCUAUGGUCUUUCAAAGUUCUCUGGUGGGGUAAUGAGUACCCUUGACUUCUAUCAAUCUCCCCCUGUUGAUUUCUUACCGUUUCUUCCAAUAAUCUGCAGCAUACAUAAGGGAUUCUGCUUUCGUCAAGGAGUUUCAUCAGCAAUUUCAGAUCUCACCGAAAGGUUGCUUCUUGAGGAGCGAGACCCCCCUGCAACUCCCCAGGAGAGUCUUUAUGAGGCGCCUCCAUUUGAUGGGG